Molecule: ribosomal RNA, 465 nt
Filed under: uncultured bacterium
Lineage: Bacteria
Description: bacterial SSU rRNA
Rfam family: Bacterial small subunit ribosomal RNA
Source: RNAcentral
CCUACGGGUUGCAGCAGUGGGGAAUAUUGCUCAAUGGGCGCAAGCCUGAUGCAACCAUGCCGCGUGUGUGAAGAAGGCCUUCGGGUUGUAAAGCACUUUCGGCGAGGAGGAAGGUGGUGAGCUUAAUACGCUCAUCAAUUGACGUUACUCGCAGAAGAAGCACCGGCUAACUCCGUGCCAGCAGCCGCGGUAAUACGGAGGGUGCAAGCGUUAAUCGGAAUUACUGGGCGUAAAGCGCACGCAGGCGGUUUGUUAAGUCAGAUGUGAAAUCCCCGGGCUCAACCUGGGAACUGCAUUUGAAACUGGCAAGCUAGAGUCUCGUAGAGGGGGGUAGAAUUCCAGGUGUAGCGGUGAAAUGCGUAGAGAUCUGGAGGAAUACCGGUGGCGAAGGCGGCCCCCUGGACGAAGACUGACGCUCAGGUGCGAAAGCGUGGGGAGCAAACAGGAUUAGAUACCCCUGUAGUC